Lytechinus variegatus (green sea urchin) is the source of this 6425-nucleotide RNA transcript. It is a transcript of the gene named glycerol-3-phosphate dehydrogenase [NAD(+)], cytoplasmic-like, with no coding region annotated. NCBI's taxonomy places the organism in Eukaryota, Metazoa, Echinodermata, Echinoidea, Temnopleuroida, Toxopneustidae. The record is from RefSeq and is a predicted model, not a curated record. The transcript has 10 exons.
UGAUCUUUCACAUUAUGCCCUUUAUCGCGCGGCAGCUGAUCUGAUCAAACGUGAGCAAGUUCAAUCGGUCGUGUGCUACUUUUUGGAAAACUAAACUCUCUCCAAAUCCAAGAUAGCCUGUGAAAAGAUGAGCAACGAAUCCACACCUCGAAAAGUUUGCAUAAUCGGGUCUGGCAACUGGGGCUCAGCCAUUGCCAGGAUUGUUGGUAAGAAUGCAAAGAAGCAUCCCGAGUUUGAAGAUGUUGUCUCUAUGUGGGUAUUUGAAGAGAUGGUGAAUGGAAAAAAAUUGACAGAGAUCAUCAAUACCACACAUGUUAAUGAGAAAUAUCUUCCAGGCCACACUCUGCCAGAUAAUGUGGUUGCAGUUCCUGAAGUAGCUGAAGCCGCGAAGGGAGCCAGGUUACUAAUCUUCGUACUACCUCAUCAAUUUGUACCUAAGGUUUGUGAGUCAUUGAAGGGGAAGAUAGACCCAGAUACCAUUGCAAUCUCUCUUAUUAAGGGUGUACAUAUCAAGGAUAAUGGAUUAGAAUUAAUCUCAGAGAUGAUUUCAUCCUACCUUGGAGGAGUACAUUGUCAUGUUCUGAUGGGAGCUAAUCUGGCACCAGAGGUAGCUGCUGAGAAGUUCUGUGAGACAACAAUUGGUUGCAAAGAUAAAGCAAAGGGUAUUCUGCUCAAGAAACUCUUUGAAGCAGAGUACUUCAGAGUGGUAGUUGUGGAAGAUGAAAACACAGUGGAACUGUGUGGAGCAUUAAAGAAUAUUGUAGCAGUAGGUGCUGGUAUAAUUGAUGGUCUGAAGCUAGGUGAUAACACUAAAGCUGCUAUUAUCCGUCUUGGUCUAAUGGAGAUGGUAUCCUUUGCUGAGACGUUCUAUAAAAAUGUUGACAAGGCAACCUUCCUUGAAAGCUGUGGUGUUGCUGAUCUCAUUACAACAUGCUAUGGAGGCAGGAAUAGAAGGGUUUCUGAAGCCUUUGUCUUGACAGGAAAGACAAUCGAGGAGCUUGAGAAGGAGAUGUUGAAUGGUCAGAAGCUUCAAGGACCUCAAACAGCUUUUGAAGUUCAUCAGAUGCUGAAAGAAAAGAAUCUAACCGACCAAUACCCUCUGUUUACCGCCAUCUACAAUAUUUGUUACGAAGGCCUUCCAGCAACUAAGCUGAUAGAAUCUCUUCAUGAUCAUCCAGAGCAUAUUUAGGAUACAAGAGGUGUAAUUACACCUGGAAAGAAUUUUAAUCCUAAGGUGAUGUUACACAUAGUAAUAUUUGUUCUUGAGAACGUGACAAUCUGUAGUGACCACACAGAAACAUUGUGUGCGCUAACAGUGGCAGUGAUGCCUAAUGUUACAACCAUGCAUUACUUUCUCAUUGAAAUAAAUGUUUCUACUCAACAAUCUGAAAAAUAUGACUGGGCUUACUGUUAGCACUCUGUUAGGCUAACACCGUUUCUGUGCGGCCGGCACUGGUGUUUGGAAUGUUUGUGGUGUUUUCCCAUGGCUGACUAAUGAAUGUUAACAAGUCGUUAUGAAUCUUGAACUGGUUUGUUUCUUGUUUGUGACUUUACCUUGAAUCAGAAAUGGUUUGAUGGUAGAGUCACUGCAGUGAAAACAGCAUAACAUUAUGUAAGAUUCAAAUCUCAAGAUCACUAGUUACUAGAUUCUAUCUGACCUUUUUUCAUUUACAGAGUGUGCAUGCAAUCUGAAAUCUUUAAAUUUACAUUAAACUUUUUUUUUAUUUUUUAGUAUUAUUUGUACUAAACAAAUGAAGGAUAUUACUUGAUAUUUAGACAUCUUAAUUUAAUAAUUAUGAUGAUUAUAGGAUCAUUUAUAUAGCACAGCUUCUAUUCAUUUACUCUACUGCAAUUAAUAUGAUAACAUCUUUAUAUAAGGUAAUGAAAAUAUGGAAGAUUACUUAAUGAAAUGUUAUAAUACCCUGGCAUAAAGACACAUUUCAUUAUCGGGGGGGGGGGGGGGGGGGUCUGUUUUAUCAGUGCAAGUUGAGUUUUGUCUUUUUAUAUUCUCUUAUGCUAGCCAUUGUGGAUCCAUAUUGUGUGCAGUUAUCAUUCCUGUUAAUGUAUGAAGCAUUAUCUACCCCUCCUUCCUCAGCUACCAGCGUAUAUGCAGUGUGUCAUUUUUAUAAGAUGAGAAAUACCCUUAACACCCUCAAAUGUAAUCUUAUUUUUUUCAAAACAUCAAACAGAGAUAUGCCUUGCUUGUCUGAUGCUUUUGGAAUUCAAAUUCUGAUGAUAUAAUAUUAUGUGUACUUGAAUAUCCUUGUGAACCUAAAGAUUUAUUUGAUAUUCCCAAUUUCCAGCAUGUUUUUUUGUAUUCACUGUGUCGCUAUUUUUGUAAUUAAAAAACAAGUUACAAAUAUUAAUCGUCAUAUAUCCAAAUACAACUUUAGCUGAUGGAAAUUAGAUUAGAUAGAAUGAUCUUGUGCCAAAGAACAUAUUCCAGAUGUUUGUAAGGUCAUGUAUAACUUAAUGAAAAGUUAUCAGGAUGGACUUCGUAUGGCAUUACCUUUUGCAGUACUGGUAGCCCUUUAUAACCUUUCAGAAGACUGUCUUAUGCACAAAUUCAUAUUAUGAAACUGUACUGUUUUAUACGAUAGUAAAUGUGUGUAACAAUACAAUACAAGGUGACCAAAUUAAAUAAAUUUGAAGGUUAUAUGUAAAUCUCUGUAGAGACUGUGAUAAAGUUUGAAAAAUAGUAACAUCAAUUUUUAAUUAAAGCAGAAAUAUACAAUUUACAAAGCAACUCUUCUCAAACCAAAAGAUUCUGACUGAUUCAUAUUGAAUGUAUUUACGACUUUUAUAAGUAUGAACUUUAAAUGGUUUUGUUUUUAUUUGAAGUUCAAUUCACAUGUGAAGAUAGGUUGUUGGAGUUUUUCUCUGUCAUCUUUUCCUUUAGCAUGAUUUUCCAAUGGUUGCCAUAUAUAGGUUUAUCCCAUUUAACUAUGUAAAUAUUAAAAUAUAAUAUCCUCUAAUUUGUUUAACAAGAAAAAUUAUUCUUUGAAAUUUAAAAGGGGAUCAUGCAUUGCCAGUGGUAAUGAGAGAUACAUUUGGAAUCAAGAUUGAACAAAAAAUGAAAGCCAUAUUAAUUACAGGACUAUGAUCCUUCAAAUCACAUUGCAAAUAUCAAGAAUUAGAGACCAUAUCAAUGUACUUCAGCUAUUGUCUCUAUUUUUUAAUGUCUAUAUAAAGUGUGUUUUUGUAACACAUGAAUGUGUGCAGAUUAUUAUUGGGGAUAGAAACAAGUAAUGCAACUGUUUGAAUAGUGCGAGUUGGAAGGCUUUUUAAAAAAUCUUACUUAGAGAUAAUUUAAGUAUUUUUUUUUACUUAUAUUUCUAAAAUUCUGAAUCUCAUAUGUAGUAACAGUUCAGUAUCUUAAGUUCAAAAAGUAAAUUUAUGGAAGAAAGUUAGUUCUUUGUUUCCAAAUGUUGAUAAUGAUUUUAAUUCAUACCAUGAGCAUGCCUUGACACGAUUUUGAAAUUUUCACAGAAUUUGUUAAACAAAUUAGUGUGUUUUGAAAUAUGAAUUGAUUUAUUUUGUACUGCUCAUGGAUAAGUGAUUUUUUUAAAAUGUGUAUUCAUAUUAGAAGACUUAUGAAUUAAAAGACACAUUAUUGUAUGAUGGAGACAUGGUUGUUUUUAUUUGUGGAGUCAUUUUUAAAUGAUCACUAAUUUUUCAUAUGACAAUCGCACUGCAGUAAUUCCUCACACUGUACUAACCCACCCUUAGACCAUUAAAUCUACUCUUAAACCUUACCAUAACCCAAAGGUAUGUCAUCAUGACUGUAGUUUUGAUUAUAUGCCACCCUGACUAUUUCUAGUUACCAAAGGAUGUAUUGGAUCAUUUGUUUGAAUGAGAUAUUAACCAUAAAUCAUUCUAUCAAGGCUUGUAAAAGGCAUGGAGUGGUCAUGUGAUAAAUAUACAUUAUCAGGUUUGAACCGAAGAAGUCUGGAGCUCGCCUGUAAAGCUGAUGACUGACUCAAGCCACUUGUGCUUUCACUCAAUAAUGUUGAACACAUUAUAUUGAUCUCUAUUUUUUUUCUUUACUUGGAAGAAUAUUUUAGUUAUUCCCAAUGCGAAUAUGAGGUUUUAGCAGUAAACCUGUUGGUGAUUUCUUAGACAGGUAUAUUGAAUGAGUGGUGUUCUUGUAUCCAUUUUAGAAAGUGAAAAUAAAAACUGGUUCUGGAAAAUUAGGUUAAUCUUUGAUUUUUCUUUAUAUUUGAACUGAAAUAUGUUGUAUCUUGGUUUGGAAAAGAAUAAUAUCAAUAGAUCUGUCUUGCAGAUUGGAUUUGAUGAGAUUAAUUGAUUGCUGUAUCAUUAUGUUUUAUAUAUGAGGAAAUAUAUAUAAGUACAACGAUUCCCAUUCUUCUUUAGAUUUUUCUCACUUUAAGAAAUGCAAAGAUGCUUUUUAUCUUUCAAUAAUUGUUCUUUGUUUAUAGCUUUGAUUACUCUUAGUGUUAUUUUUUUAGUCUUCUGUUUCUGAGUUUUCUUGUAUUCACUGGAGAAUAUUAUAAUUUAAGGAUUUAAUGUUGGUUGGUAGCGGGUAUAAAUCAGACUGCUGAUCUGCAUUCCAAAACCUGUAGGAUGAUAGAUAUAAACUGAAUGACAUUGAUGUUAACAAUGUCCUCAUUGUAAAUUGGGAUUUGUAACUAAGAUUUCAUUUACCCUUAAAACCAAACAUAAUUAGUAUUCUACAUUGUAAAUGAAAUCACCAAUUAUUGUUUUUUAAUUAUUGUUAAUCAGUAUUACCUUCCAGUCUUCCUGCAAGAGUAAUAAUAUUGUAACUUCUGAAUUCUGAACUUUAGAAAAUUUAUAUGAAAAGUAGAUAGUUACGCAGUAAGAUGAUGAUCAAUGGAUUGAAAUUUGACUUUGCUUUUGAAAACAUGAAAUAUAAUUGAAGUUUGAGAUGUGUUGAAAGUAGCUUGUAUCGAUAUUUAGAAAAACAGCAAUUAUUUUAUUAAUGUGAAAUCAAUAUUGAAUUCCUCAAUUUAUUUGAUAAAUUAAUGGAAUCCACUAGUAUAUACCAACUGUAGUUACUGAAGUUAAUCAAGGGUAGCGUUACUUGGGUUAGGGCUCUCUACACGUUCCCCUUUUUUUCAAGAGAUGAAAAAAAGGAGAAAUUUGAAAGAAGUAUGCAAGAGAUUUCCCUAUUUCUUAUUCCAACAAAGAUAAUCAGCUCACCUUCAUGUCAAAAGUACAGUCUACUAUAAGUCAUAUUUCAUGAAGGCAGAGCAGAUAUUAAGAAUCAUAUCAAGUGUAAGUACAAUUUCAUGUUUCAAAGUUAUAUUUCACCAUGAUUUCAGGUUUUGGAUAAAAUAUAAUGAAAUUUGUAAAGAGGGUUGUCAAAUGUUAAAUCGGAUCAUUGUAGAAUUACAGGUUGCUUAGUCAAGGUCAACUGUCACUUUGUUAUGGUCAAUAAACUUUGAUAUUGAUACUUUAUUUCAGUAUAUUAUUAAUUUUUAUAUUCAAUUGAAAUUGUAUAUAAGCGCAAUCAAUAUCACAAAUUAAUAUCAAAAUCAAAGGUCAUUUCAGGUGAAAGAAAUAUGGUUAUGUAAUUUCUUUCAAUGGGUAUACAAGUGUGCACAUGUAUAUUUGAAGAAAAAAAAACUUUUACAGAAGUGACUUUUUCUGUUUUAUAUGCAUAUUUAGCGCUCAUGAUUCACUUAUUUGACUAUUCAUGUGCUCCAAUAAUUUUGGUGUUUGACCAAGCUUCUUUUAUCAUUCUGCAUUUCAAGAAACUGAAUCAUUGUCUUUGUGGCAAUAACAAAUUGUUGUUAAUACAAAACAAGUGAAGUAAAAAUGGUUACAUUUUCUUUAGUAUUACACUUUUUCAUAAUUAGGGUAUUCAAUUUAUAUUGGACAUUUAUUCAUAUACCAUCUUUUAGGAAUUUGUUGUAGUUAUUUCCUUCAUAAUGGGGGGGGGGGGCUGAAAUUACAUUCAUUCAUAAACUAUUGAAUUAUGUUACUGCAAGGAACAAUACCCUAAUUUCUGUAUGGUGUCCGUUGUUGAAAGUGUACUCUAUGUUGACAAAAAGCACAAACAAUGCAUGAUUUAGAAACUUUAUUCAAAAGUUUAUAUUUAUGACAUUUCAAGUGUUGUACUUAUUAACAAAGGGUUUUACUUUUUUGUCGGAAUAAAGUUUGUAUUCUUCAUCCAACCUCAUGACAAAAAAAUGUAUUCACAAAUUUCUAGAAUUUUCUUUUUUUAAUGACUAGUAGUGUAUAAAUCAAUUUCAAACAAUAUUUUUAAUUAUUUGUAUAUAAUUACUCUAUGAUUUAUAGAUUUGACUUUUAUAAGAUUUGUAAUUCUUUUGAUGUGAUGUUUUCUUGCCAAAAUUGCAGACCAUGAUUAUAUUCCAAUUCAUAGAAGACAUUGAUUUGUAUGUCAGCAUAUGAUUUCAUUAAAUAGUAGUGUGUGAACCAUA